Molecule: ribosomal RNA, 292 nt
Filed under: uncultured bacterium
Lineage: Bacteria
Description: partial 16S ribosomal RNA
Source: RNAcentral
GGACUACAGGGGUUUCUAAUCCUGUUUGAUCCCCACGCUUUCGGGUCUGAGUGUCAGUGUUAGGCCAGUUACCCGCCUUCGCCUCCGGUAUUCCUCUUGAUAUCUACGUAUUUCACCACUACACCAAGAAUUCUAGUAACCUCUCCUACACUCAAGCUUCGCAGUAUCAAAUGCACUUCCAGGGUUGAGCCCUGGGCUUUCACACCUGACUUACAAAGCCACCUACACCCGCUUUACGCCCAAUAAUUCCGAACAACGCUAGGAUCCCUCGUCUUACCGCGGCUGCUGGCAC